UGGGGAAUAUUGCACAAUGGGCGCAAGCCUGAUGCAGCCAUGCCGCGUGUGUGAAGAAGGCCUUCGGGUUGUAAAGCACUUUCAGCGAGGAGGAAGGUGGUGAGCUUAAUACGCUCAUCAAUUGACGUUACUCGCAGAAGAAGCACCGGCUAACUCCGUGCCAGCAGCCGCGGUAAUACGGAGGGUGCAAGUGUUAAUCGGAAUUACUGGGCGUAAAGCGCACGCAGGCGGUUUGUUAAGUCAGAUGUGAAAUCCCCGGGCUCAACCUGGGAACUGCAUUUGAAACUGGCAAGCUAGAGUCUCGUAGAGGGGGGUAGAAUUCCAGGUGUAGCGGUGAAAUGCGUAGAGAUCUGGAGGAAUACCGGUGGCGAAGGCGGCCCCCUGGACGAAGACUGACGCUCAGGUGCGAAAGCGUGGGGAGCAAACAGGAUUAGAUACCCUGGUAGUCCACGCUGUAAACGAUGUCGAUUUUGGAGGUUGUGCCCUUGAGGCGUGGCUUCCGGAGCUAACGCGUUAAAUCGACCGCCUGGGGAGUACGGCCGCAAGGUUAAAACUCAAAUGAAUUG
Molecule: ribosomal RNA, 566 nt
Filed under: uncultured bacterium
Lineage: Bacteria
Description: partial 16S ribosomal RNA
Rfam family: Bacterial small subunit ribosomal RNA
Source: RNAcentral